This 495-nucleotide ribosomal RNA is filed under the name uncultured bacterium. RNAcentral describes it as "partial 16S ribosomal RNA". It matches the Rfam family "Bacterial small subunit ribosomal RNA", at positions 29 to 507 of the family's 1533-position model. The record is from RNAcentral.
AUGAACGCUGGCGGCGUGCCUAAUCCCUGCAAGUCGCGCGAACAGACGAGGAGCUUGCUCCUCUGACGUUAGCGGCGGACGGGUGAGUAACAUGUGGAUAACCUACCUAUAAGACUGGGAUACUUCGGGAAACCGGAGCUAAUACCGGAUAAUAUAUUGAACCGCAUGGUUCAAUAGUGAAAGACGGUUUUGCUGUCACUUAUAGAUGGAUCCGCGCCGCAUUAGCUAGUUGGUAAGGUAACGGCUUACCAAGGCAACGAUGCGUAGCCGACCUGAGAGGGUGAUCGGCCACACUGGAACUGAGACACGGUCCAGACUCCUACGGGAGGCAGCAGUAGGGAAUCUUCCGCAAUGGGCGAAAGCCUGACGGAGCAACGCCGCGUGAGUGAUGAAGGUCUUCGGAUCGUAAAACUCUGUUAUUAGGGAAGAACAAAUGUGUAAGUAACUAUGCACGUCUUGACGGUACCUAAUCAGAAAGCCACGGCUAACUACGUG